AGUGAACGCUGGCGGUAGGCCUAACACAUGCAAGUCGAACGGCAGCACAGUAAGAGCUUGCUCUUACGGGUGGCGAGUGGCGGACGUGUGAGGAAUACAUCGUAAUCUACUUUUUCGUGGGGGAUAACGUAGGGAAACUUACUCUAAUACCGUAUACGACCUACGGGUGAAAGCAGGGGAUCUUCUGACCUUGCGCGAUUGAAUGAGCGGAUGUCGGAUUAGCUAGUUGGCGGGGUAAAGGCCCACCAAGGCGACGAUCCGUAGCUGGUGUGAGUGGAUGGUAAGCCGCACUGGAAGUGGGACACGGUCCAGACUCCUAAGAGAGGCACCAGUGGGGAAUGUUGGGCAAUGGGCGGAAGCAUGAUCCAGCGAUACCGAGUGGGUGAAGACGGCCUCCGGGUUGUGAAGACCUUUUGUGGGGAAAGAAAAGCAGCCGGCUAAGACCUAGCUGGUCUGACGGUACCCAAAGAAUAAGCACCGGCUAACUUCGUG
RNAcentral lists this ribosomal RNA (492 nucleotides) under uncultured bacterium. RNAcentral describes it as "partial 16S ribosomal RNA". It matches the Rfam family "Bacterial small subunit ribosomal RNA", at positions 29 to 507 of the family's 1533-position model. The record is from RNAcentral.